GUCUUCGUAGUGCAAUGGUUAGCACACUCGGCACGAAUUCGAGAGUUCCAAGUUUGAGUCCUGGCGAGGGCA
This 72-nucleotide transfer RNA is filed under the name Stegodyphus mimosarum. It matches the Rfam family "tRNA". From Rfam's summary of the family: Transfer RNA (tRNA) molecules are approximately 80 nucleotides in length. The record is from Rfam by way of RNAcentral. Lineage: Eukaryota; Metazoa; Arthropoda; Arachnida; Araneae; Eresidae.